UUCUUUGUCUGCUGCUGCAACUUCUUCAACCGCAAACACGUAUUAUGACAGGCGUCAAUGACAUAUCGCAAGAAUUCAUGAGCAUCCUCUUGCCUCCCAAACCUAAAAUGCUGGGCGAAAAUCUUUAAGCAACUAUUAAUCUUGGCCGGAGUAUCUAGUGCUGAUUCAAGACUCAAAGACCUAGCUAUUCUCUUCUCUAAUAUACAAAAAGGACAUUCACUUUUCUUCCCUGAAGCAGCUGCAGCUUCAGAAUCACAAGAAGCGGAAUGUUGAGAUUUGAGGCAGAAAUAAGCAAGAGGAGGGGUAUAAGUAAGGCACUGAAGAACGGAGUUGAUAUAACAGGUAUUUCCGAUGUUUUUAAGCCCUAAAGGAGGACCAGUCUUGCGUUUGUGGCUAAGCAGGUUGGGCUGCCAAUUCAUUUGCAAAUAGGCCAUUAACGACCUGAUUCGUCUUCCUCCGUCAGAACCGCCGCGUAUGGGCUGCCCCGAAGCUGCAGCCACCACGAUCGCAUCGCCUCUACCACUUGAGUACACCUCCUUUCUUCUCUAUAUCUCUUUCUCUUAGGUUUUGUAGUAAAUUCGGGUUCAGUGAGGAGGGAGAUUUGGAGAAGAACGGAGGUUUAAUUGUGGUUUGAAAAAAUGGCAAAUGUGUUUUAUUAAAUUUGGGGUAAAAAUUUUAG
RNAcentral lists this unclassified non-coding RNA (679 nucleotides) under Hevea brasiliensis (rubber tree). The record is from RNAcentral. Lineage: Eukaryota; Viridiplantae; Streptophyta; Magnoliopsida; Malpighiales; Euphorbiaceae.